RNAcentral lists this transfer RNA (81 nucleotides) under Paraburkholderia acidisoli. RNAcentral's name for it is "Paraburkholderia sp. DHF22 tRNA-OTHER". The record is from RNAcentral. Lineage: Bacteria; Pseudomonadati; Pseudomonadota; Betaproteobacteria; Burkholderiales; Burkholderiaceae.
GAGAGCGAUAAGUCGAGAUGGGAUGGACUACGGCAAUGCCUCGGCAGCCGUGUAUCGCGGGUUCGAAUCCCGCCGCUCUCG